RNAcentral lists this ribosomal RNA (468 nucleotides) under uncultured bacterium. Its description in RNAcentral is "bacterial SSU rRNA". It matches the Rfam family "Bacterial small subunit ribosomal RNA", at positions 27 to 507 of the family's 1533-position model. The record is from RNAcentral.
GGACGAACGCUGGCGGCGUGCCUAACACAUGCAAGUCGAACGGGGCUACGAAAGCUUGCUUUGUAGCUUAGUGGCGAACGGGUGAGUAACGCGUGAGAAACCUGCCUCUCAGUGGGGGACAACAGUUGGAAACGACUGCUAAUACCGCAUAAAGUAUCCGGAGGGCAUCCUGUGGAUACCAAAGCUUAAUGUGCUGAGAGAUGGUCUCGCGUCUGAUUAGCUAGAUGGCGGGGUAACGGCCCACCAUGGCGACGAUCAGUAGCCGGUCUGAGAGGAUGAACGGCCACAUUGGGACUGAGAUACGGCCCAGACUCCUACGGGAGGCAGCAGUGGGGAAUAUUGGGCAAUGGGGGAAACCCUGACCCAGCAACGCCGCGUGAAGGAAGAAGGCCUUCGGGUUGUAAACUUCUUUUAGUAGGGACGAAGAACGUGACGGUACCUACAGAAAAAGCAACGGCUAACUACGUG